Myotis daubentonii (Daubenton's bat) is the source of this 1288-nucleotide long non-coding RNA. RefSeq lists it as uncharacterized. The record is from RefSeq and is a predicted model, not a curated record. Lineage: Eukaryota; Metazoa; Chordata; Mammalia; Chiroptera; Vespertilionidae.
CCACCGCGCGCCCCGGCUCACUUUGGGAUUUCUCCAUUAAAUCCUCAGGCAGCGACCUGCUCCAACGUUGCUUGGCAAUUUUGAUAUCGUCGAGUGUUGCCAUGGGGAGGAGAGUGAUGUCAUUGACAUAAAAAAAAAAAAAACCAAACCCACUGAAUUUACAAAUCAGCUGGGGCUGGAGCUAUUUAUAAAAGCCUUUUCCCCUGCCUUCCUUCACUGAGCGGGAGGAGAGGAUGAGCUGCCUGCCGGAAUCAGGGGGCGCCUCCCCCAGCCCCGCAGCCAGACCUCCCAGGCUCCCCACCCCCGCAGCGCUGCGGGAUUCAGACCUGGCUGGCCCUGACCACAGCUGGGCUGAGCUCCCUUGCCGGGUCUCAGCUGGUUUUGCUGUGAGUGGCACACAGGGAGUGCUGGGCAGCGCGAACGCUGGCGUCCUGGGUUUGCAGGGACCAGUGAAACCAGCCACUCAACCGCCCCGUACGAAUCAUGCCCCCUCCCCCGUCAGAAACCAGGGCGUGUGCAGGUUGUAGAAAGGGGAGUGUGUGAUCUGCCAGCCUUUGGAGAAAAUUCUGCGAAGCUUGACUGCCUGUUGCUCCUGGGCCAGUGGUGUGCCCUGUGCCCUUCUUUAUCCCAGUGGACUCACCUCUCUGCGCCUCCCAGUACGCUGUGAGCGCUCUAGGGCAGGAAUCCCAGCAUGGUGCUUGGCUCACAGGAGAUGCUCAUGCAAAUGAGCAUCUUUGUUGAAUGAAUGAAUGAAUGACUGAAUGAACAUCUGAAGAGGUUCUGUGCUCUGGCCACCCCUACUUGGACUAUGGUGAAUUAUGGAGCUGAGAGGAAUUCUAGGGUCAUCAACCCCACCCCUCUUUCCAGGUGAAGACGACCUAAUGUAAACCACCUCCAAACCCUGUCACAGCACGAUGGCUUCCAGGACACCCCAACCCAGUUGGCCCUCAAUCCCGCUGUGUCCUGACACACCUGCUCCUCUCCUUCGGUUUCUGGUCAUGGCUUACUGAGAUGUCCUUUGACCUACUUUUCUUUAUUGUCUUGGCUUUUAACCUGUAAUAUCCUGUUUCUCUAAAUUAUAAACGUUCUGAAGGGAGUAAGCAUGCCUUAUAUUUCUUUACAUCCUUACUGGAGCUCUAGUAGAGCUUAAUAAAUAUUUAUCGGCUAACCUUCUUUGACACAUUUAGAGAUAUUUUCUGGUACAUGGACACGGUAAAUUAAGGCGUCAACAGGUAGCAGCUGGAAGCCUGACUAAAUAACAAUGCUAGGCAUUUCAAUAGUGUUUAGA